GACGAACGCUGGCGGCGUGCCUAAUACAUGCAAGUAGGACGCACAGUCUAUACCGUAGCUUGCUACACCAUAGGCUGUGAGUUGCGAACGGGUGAGUAACGCGUAGGUAACCUGCCUAUUAGAGGGGGAUAACUAUUGGAAACGAUAGCUAAUACCGCAUAACAGUAUGUAACACAUGUUAGAUGCUUGAAAGAUGCAAUUGCAUCGCUAGUAGAUGGACCUGCGUUGUAUUAGCUAGUAGGUAGGGUAAUGGCCUACCUAGGCGACGAUACAUAGCCGACCUGAGAGGGUGAUCGGCCACACUGGGACUGAGACACGGCCCAGACUCCUACGGGAGGCAGCAGUAGGGAAUCUUCGGCAAUGGGGGGAUCCCUGACCGAGCAACGCCGCGUGAGUGAAGAAGGUUUUCGGAUCGUAAAGCUCUGUUGUUAAGGAAGAACGAGUGUGAGAAUGGAAAGUUCAUACUGUGACGGUACUUAACCAGAAAGGGACGGCUAACUACGUG
Molecule: ribosomal RNA, 505 nt
Filed under: uncultured bacterium
Lineage: Bacteria
Description: partial 16S ribosomal RNA
Rfam family: Bacterial small subunit ribosomal RNA
Source: RNAcentral